UACGGAGGGUGCAAGCGUUAUCCGGAAUCACUGGGCGUAAAGGGCGCGUAGGCGGCCUGUUAAGUCUGGCGUUAAAGCCUGGGGCUCAACCCCAGAUCAGCGUUGGAUACUGGCAGGCUAGACGGUUGGAGAGGCGAGUGGAAUUACCAGUGUAGCGGUGGAAUGCGUAGAUACUGGUAGGAACACCCAUUGCGAAGGCAGCUCGCUGGACAACACGUGACACUGAGGCGCGAAAGUGUGGGGAGCAAACCGGAUUAGAUACCCCUGUA
Molecule: ribosomal RNA, 269 nt
Filed under: uncultured prokaryote
Description: partial 16S ribosomal RNA
Rfam family: Bacterial small subunit ribosomal RNA
Source: RNAcentral